Molecule: ribosomal RNA, 403 nt
Filed under: Verrucomicrobiota bacterium
Lineage: Bacteria; Pseudomonadati; Verrucomicrobiota
Description: Verrucomicrobia bacterium partial 16S ribosomal RNA
Rfam family: Bacterial small subunit ribosomal RNA
Source: RNAcentral
UGGGGAAUAUUGCACAAUGGGCGCAAGCCUGAUGCAGCAACGCCGCGUGAACGAUGAAGGUCUUCGGAUCGUAAAGUUCUGUUGCAGGGGAAGAUAAUGACGGUACCCUGUGAGGAAGCCCCGGCUAACUACGUGCCAGCAGCCGCGGUAAUACGUAGGGGGCUAGCGUUAUCCGGAUUUACUGGGCGUAAAGGGUGCGUAGGUGGUCCUUCAAGUCGGUGGUUAAAGGCUACGGCUCAACCGUAGUAAGCCGCCGAAACUGGAGGACUUGAGUGCAGGAGAGGAAAGUGGAAUUCCCAGUGUAGCGGUGAAAUGCGUAGAUAUUGGGAGGAACACCAGUAGCGAAAGCGGCUUUUUGGCCUGCAACUGACACUGAGGCGCGAAAGCGUGGGGAGCAAACAGG